GGGGGGCGGGGGGGAAGGGGGGUGCAGUGUGCAGACCCUCUCAUUGCCCGGGGAGCCCCUCAGCCGACCUCAGGGGAAGAUCUCAUUUUAUCAGAGCUUCUCCUCUUGUGCACUUGCCGGAGAGGCCCAAGGGGAAGCCGGUUUGGCACCCCCUCCCCCAAUUUCCAGUACUCACUCGUGAAGUGCAUGGGUGGUACUUGGCGGUCAAGGCCAAGAGUAGGGGACAAACGGAUGGUACAGGCCAGAGGCGGGAAGCCUUCUUCUGCAUGGAGACCUUGGAUAUGGCUUUUGUGGCUUUGCAGUGCAAGAACCUGGCCCCGUAUGGCCAGGUAGAAAAGGGUGCUUUUGCCCUCCCCGAUUCCAACAUCCAAAUGUGUAAUGCAGAACUAACAAAUUGCCGAACCGAGCAGCUAUGAAGAGGAUAACCAAGGUGCUAAAAAAAAAAAAAAAAAAAGAAAAAAAAUUCUCUGAAUUAGCAGCAAAUCAUUUUCCACCUGUGCUAAAUACCUUUUGGGGUCUCUGUGAGACCGAGCCCCUUUCUUGGAGAAUUGCUCCUCCCUCCCCCCACCCCACGAAGGACUGCAAACGCAGGUCAUGCUUACCUCACAUGACCCCAUGAGGCUGGCUCACUCCUGAUCCACGCUGGACACAAAGCAAGACAGAUUCUUGCUCUGGGAGCUGGAAUGUCAGACAGUCGUUUGGUUGUGCCGAAGCUGGGAGAAGGUAGCGCUCUGGGGUUCAGGGCCACUAUCUUCAGCCAUGUGUACUGACAGGUGGAAAGCCAGAGGGGGGUGUAGGGUAAGUUUUGCCAUCAGAGAUGUUGAGAGAAGCAGACCAGCGACAUCCACUCCUUUUAUAAAGGAUGACCUUCCAUUUGCUCUCUGGCCAACCCUCAACUCCCAACUGUGUCCUCUCCUCAUGCUUCCUCUUAAGCCUCAUCCCUCCAUUCCCUUUUAAUCUAAUCAGCCUCUUGGCCAAUGCCUGCUACAUGGUCAUCUUCUCAGUGCCUUGAAAUUUUUUUUUCUAAUAUACCCACAGAUUAUAACAUUGUAAUGUAUUAUUUUGUCAGAGACAAGGGAACUAGCAGCUUGUGGCAUACUAUCUCAGGACCUGUGAUAGGGUGAUUCUCUCCAUCCCAAAGAGACAGCAGUUUCAGGAUGUCAAGACACAAAAAGCAGCCAAAGGAGUUUACUGUCCCUUUAUUUCCCAUGAAAUACAACUGCUAAGUGGUGUUCAUAUUUUACCCACACUGCUUCCUGUCCUCUGCCAAGGGAGGGAUUUCAUCCAACAUCCCAGCUGUUCUGGGGCCUGAGCUGGGGUGGCUGGGUUGGAAGGGAGGAGGACACACAGAAGGGUUUUGCUCACAUGCCACAGCUGUGCCUGGGGCUUCUGUGCAGGCAAUCAGGCGACCUUCCCUCAGGCAGAAGCCUGCGGAAACGUCCAGGCUGACUCUCCUCAUUUGGCACAGUGAAGGGCAAAUAUCUCUCCAUUAUCUGUUAGAAAAUGAAUGAGCAAGCACAAUCUCUAGAUGAAGGAAAACUUAAAGAGGAAGUCAUAUUUCCUAUUCUCUGGGUUUAAUAAUAUUCUGCAAAAAAGGUCAUGGGUCUGGGUGUAACUAGUUCAAGAACUACGGUCACAGUGUACUAACCUCUUCUGUUCUCCUCUGGAGAAAAAAAAAAAAUCAGAAUAUAAGGUGUUUGGGUCAACUAUAACAUAAACCUAGGCAUGCCAAGCUCUGUGCAGGGAUUUUUACAGGGACCUCAUUUAAAUGUCACAGUGGUUCUAUAGUAUGACUCUGUCACUAUGAAUUUUCUAAGCAGUUAAGUGAGUACCUCAAAGGCCACACAACUGGCAAGUAGGAUUCCAAUCUGGUGUUAAGUGAAAAAUGCGGUACAAAAAAAAUAAAUUAAAUAAAAUAAAGAUAAAAGGUCACAUAGCUGGAAUGUGGCCUUGAAUUUACCUUAUUCUUAAAGCUAUCCUGAUUCCAUUGUACUCCAAUGCAAUAUUUCCCAAACUUGUCUGAUAAGACUCCUCAGGGUGAAUGCUUAUUAUGAAAACUCUGGGCCUGGGUCUGAUCCUGCUGCAGACCUCAUAAACCAGAAUCUUUUAUACAGGGUACGGGAAUUCACCCUAGGUGAAUCUGACCUGGCAAGUUUUAUAAAUACUGCUGGUAUGCCUUAAUUUCUUCUUAACUUAGUAAUUUUUUUAAAAUGUUUAUUUAUUUAUGAUAGUCACAGAGAGAGAGAGAGGGAGGCAGAGACACAGGCAGAGGGAGAAGCAGGCUCCAUGCACCGGGAGCCUGAUGUGGGAUUCGAUCCCGGGUCUCCAGGAUCACUCCCUGGGCCAAAGGCAGGCGCCAAACCGCUGCGCCACCCAGGGAUCCCCUUAACUUAGUAAUUCUUGGCAAGAUGCAUGCAAAAAAAAAAAGUUUUUCUCUUUUUAAUAAACUUUUUAUUUGGGGAUAAUUUUAGAUAC
RNAcentral lists this long non-coding RNA (2475 nucleotides) under Canis lupus familiaris (dog). RNAcentral describes it as "lncRNA (ENSCAFG00030006333.1)". The record is from RNAcentral. Lineage: Eukaryota; Metazoa; Chordata; Mammalia; Carnivora; Canidae.